This 408-nucleotide ribosomal RNA is filed under the name Providencia rettgeri. Its description in RNAcentral is "bacterial SSU rRNA". It matches the Rfam family "Bacterial small subunit ribosomal RNA", at positions 1126 to 1533 of the family's 1533-position model. Lineage: Bacteria; Pseudomonadati; Pseudomonadota; Gammaproteobacteria; Enterobacterales; Morganellaceae. The record is from RNAcentral.
UUCGGUCGGGAACUCAAAGGAGACUGCCGGUGAUAAACCGGAGGAAGGUGGGGAUGACGUCAAGUCAUCAUGGCCCUUACGAGUAGGGCUACACACGUGCUACAAUGGCGUAUACAAAGAGAAGCGACCUCGCGAGAGCAAGCGGAACUCAUAAAGUACGUCGUAGUCCGGAUUGGAGUCUGCAACUCGACUCCAUGAAGUCGGAAUCGCUAGUAAUCGUAGAUCAGAAUGCUACGGUGAAUACGUUCCCGGGCCUUGUACACACCGCCCGUCACACCAUGGGAGUGGGUUGCAAAAGAAGUAGGUAGCUUAACCUUCGGGAGGGCGCUUACCACUUUGUGAUUCAUGACUGGGGUGAAGUCGUAACAAGGUAACCGUAGGGGAACCUGCGGUUGGAUCACCUCCUUA